CAACGCGAAGAACCUUACCUGGGUUUGACAUGUAGAGAAAAGCCACAGAGAUGUGGUGUCCUUCGGGGUUCUACACAGGUGGUGCAUGGUUGUCGUCAGCUCGUGUCGUGAGAUGUUGGGUUAAGUCCCGCAACGAGCGCAACCCUUGUCCUAUGUUGCCAGCACGUAAUGGUGGGGACUCGUAGGAGACUGCCGGGGUCAACUCGGAGGAAGGUGGGGAUGACGUCAAAUCAUCAUGCCCCUUAUAUCCAGGGCUGCAAACAUGCUACAAUGGCCGGUACAAAGGGCUGCUAAACCGCGAGGUGGAGCGAAUCCCAUAAAGCCGGUCUCAGUUCGGAUUGGAGUCUGCAACUCGACUCCAUGAAGCUGGAGUUGCUAGUAAUCCCGGAUCAGCAACGCCGGGGUGAAUACGUUCCCGGGCCUUGUACACACCGCCCGUCACACCAUGAAAGUUGGAAAACGCCCGAAGCCAGUGGCCCAACCCUUUGGGAGGGAGCUGUCGAAGGUGGAAUCAGCGAUUAGGGUGAA
This 528-nucleotide ribosomal RNA is filed under the name uncultured bacterium. Its description in RNAcentral is "bacterial SSU rRNA". It matches the Rfam family "Bacterial small subunit ribosomal RNA", at positions 957 to 1484 of the family's 1533-position model. The record is from RNAcentral.